Haliaeetus leucocephalus (bald eagle) is the source of this 448-nucleotide long non-coding RNA. RefSeq lists it as uncharacterized. NCBI's taxonomy places the organism in Eukaryota, Metazoa, Chordata, Aves, Accipitriformes, Accipitridae. The transcript has 3 exons. The record is from RefSeq and is a predicted model, not a curated record.
GGGCAGGUGGGGGCCCUGCCCAUGCUCUAAGGCACACGGAGGCCAAGCCAAGUGCCCAGGUGAGAUCAACCCCAUCCUUCUCCCAACAUGGACCCGCUGCUGCCAUGAGCCGAGGGGCUACGGCCAGACCGCGGUGAUGGUGGCACUGGGUGCCAGGGGUUCACCGAGGGCUGGCAGCCCCCGGCUGCUCCUCUCUGGCCUGGGGUGGGGGGAGGCCAGGUGUGCAGGGCUGUCCCCUGUGCCCCGGGAGCGGGCAUUGGGCUGGGACAGCCCUGCAAAGGCAGGCUGGGCACCGCUGCCCGCACCACUGCGACUAAGCCAGAACCUGCCGAGACAGAGCUGGGCCCAGCUUAGCUCAGCUACCACAAGGUAACAGGCAGCGAGUCUCCCCCAGACAGCGGGUCAGCUCUGGGGAGCCACCGCAUGCCGGCCCCAUCGCCUGUCCUGU